Molecule: ribosomal RNA, 253 nt
Filed under: uncultured prokaryote
Description: partial 16S ribosomal RNA
Rfam family: Bacterial small subunit ribosomal RNA
Source: RNAcentral
GACAGAGGUGCCAAGCGUUAGGCGGAAUCACUGGGCUUAAAGCGUGUGUAGGCGGAUCGUUAAGUACCUUGUGAAAUCCCGCGGCUUAACCGUGGAACGGCUCGGUAUACUGGCGGUCUUGAGCAACCUAGGGGCGAGCGGAACAAAUGGUGGAGCGGUGAAAUGCGUAGAUAUCAUUUGGAACGCCAAUGGUGAAAACAGCUCGCUGGGGGUUUGCUGACGCUGAGACACGAAAGCCAGGGGAGCAAACGGG